AAAGGUUACGAUGAGGAUAACAAGCUCCCUCUUCUGAAAUGAAGUUGAAGACAAAUGCUGGUAGAAUCGAACCUAAUACUCAAACGCCACUACCGAGUAA
Molecule: small nucleolar RNA, 100 nt
Organism: Telopea speciosissima
Lineage: Eukaryota; Viridiplantae; Streptophyta; Magnoliopsida; Proteales; Proteaceae
Product: small nucleolar RNA R30/Z108
Exons: 1
Source: RefSeq, a predicted model, not a curated record